RNAcentral lists this non-coding RNA (961 nucleotides) under Xenopus laevis (African clawed frog). Its description in RNAcentral is "Eukaryotic small subunit ribosomal RNA". It matches the Rfam family "Eukaryotic small subunit ribosomal RNA", at positions 640 to 1650 of the family's 1831-position model. The record is from Rfam by way of RNAcentral. Lineage: Eukaryota; Metazoa; Chordata; Amphibia; Anura; Pipidae.
UACUGUCCAAUGCAAUCGUGUGCAGAGAAAGGAUUUGGACAGUUGUUAUGGCACGAGGCAAGACAAUACCUUCUGUUUUCAGAAGGUUUCACACUACAUGUCUUGUACGUGAAGGGAUUUUUGGCUCCUUUUAGCCCAUCUCACCCUAACCAGAUUUGGUUCUCUGCUGCCUCAAUGUGCCUUACAUUUACUUUGAAGAAAUUAGAGUGUUUGAAGCAGGAUACUUCAGCUAGGAAUAAUGGAAUAGGACUUUGGUUCUAUUCUGUUGGUUUUCGGAACUGUGGGGUUAUAAGAGAGAUGGCCAGGGGCUACAGGUGCCAAUCUUGGAUCAGUGCAAGACAAGCAAAAGCAUUUGCCAAGAAUGUUUUUAUUAAUCAAGAAUGAAAGCCUGAGGUUCUAAGACGUUCAGCUAUUGUCGUUCUGACCAUAAAAGAUGCCAGCUACUGAUCAGAUGGUUUUAUCACGGUGACCUGCUAUGCAGAUUCUGGAAAAUCAGAGUCUUUGGGUUCUGGGUGCAGUAUGAGUGCAAAAUCGAAAUUUACAGGAAUUGACAGUAGGGAACCACCAGGAGUGGAGCCGGUGACUUAAUUUGACUUAAAACAGUAAACCUCACCCAAUCCAGAAAGUGGAAAAAUUUUAUGGAUGGUGGUGCAUGGCUGUUCUUAGUUGGUGGAGAGAUUUGUCUAGAUAAUUCCGAAAUCAUGCAAGACUCCUCCAGCGUCUCUUAGAGAGACAAAUGGCAUUCAGCCACACAAAAUAAAAACAGGUCCCUUACACAUACAUUUCUGCACAUGUGCAACAUUAAACGUAUCAGUGUGUGCCGACAUGCCUGGGUAUUCCAUUGAACCCCAUUUGUAAUAGGGAUUGAGGAUUCCAAAUGUUUUCCAUGAAUGAGGAGUUCCUCACCCUUCACUACUACCUUCUGGCUUGGGCCUACCUCCCGAGAGGCUGGGGAGGAUGU